RNAcentral lists this unclassified non-coding RNA (1618 nucleotides) under Hevea brasiliensis (rubber tree). The record is from RNAcentral. Lineage: Eukaryota; Viridiplantae; Streptophyta; Magnoliopsida; Malpighiales; Euphorbiaceae.
CUUGGCUCAUCGUCGGACUCAUUGUCUUUCCUGCGCAAUCGCAGUCACAGCAGCCGCCGAGACAUGGACAGAAAUAAAGAGGCUCCUAAGAUCCGUAAGAAGAUCAAUAAGUCCAACUCGAAACGACACUAUCAAUAAGUCCAACCCGAAACGACACCGUAGAUGCCUCCACCCGCUCCUCGGAUUCUAAUGAUUCCUCUUCUGAUUCUUACUCCUCAAGCUCAAGGUUCCUCCUUGAAAUCCUAUAUCUCUGAGCUCUCUUAUUCUUUUUAUUUAUACAUAUUUUUACCUUUUUAGAUAAUAUGGAUUUUUGUAAUACUGAAUCUUCUUGUUUAUAUAAUUUCGCUUUCCUCUGAUUAAUUCUAAUUUUUUUGGUUGGUACAAUAUUAUGCUUUUCUUUUCUUGAGAUAAAUGAUACCAAUUUAUGUAAUGUUUUUGAAUUGAAGCUAAUUUUCUCUGCCAGCCUCUUCAUCCAAGCUUUAAUUAAGUAGGUUUUUCAGAACUGUAUAUUUCCCUGAAAAUCACAGGGCUACUUGCUGUAAGAAUAAUACCCAUUUUACUUAUCGUGUGAGUGUAACUGCGUAAACGGGUCUCAAUCUUGUAUGAACAUACUUCUGGGGUAAACACAGAAUGGUGAUUCCUGUAGCUAGGGUGUUUUGAAAGUUACAGGAUUAAAAACGCCGUCAAGAUUUUUGCAAGAGUUUAGUUUUAUGUGCAUGUUAUACAUUUUACUGAUAUUUGCCUGUGUUCUUGCAAUGAAAUGGGUGUAAAGGCUUCAGGCUUGGUAGAAAGUGUCACUAAGAUGCCAAAAUUAUUAUAAGCAUCUAUAGUUAUAUAGGCUGCUUUCCCCCCCUCCCCAUCCCAUUUCUAAUUUGCAAUUGGUGAUGAUUUUCAUCUUAACAUCUUGUAUCCACUGUUGAGUUACUGUAGAAGUGACGGUUCAUCAGACACUGAGCAUGAACUGUAUAAUCAUUUAAUGAGACGGAAGAAAAUGACAGACCAAAAAAAGUGAUUUUUUAGUAGUAGGAUUUUUAUCUCUCUUUUUACAAUCUCUGCUUGUAUAAUAGUCUCAUAUCAUUGGUCAUUUGUUCUCUAGAGCAAGGAAAAGAUCCAACAACCAGACCUUCUGAUUUCAUUUAAUUUCCUCUCACUAUUGAGGAGUAACUUUAUGUUCACGAAAUGCUUUUAUUCUCAACUAUUGAACAUUCUGAAUUAUUCUGGCAUUUUCUAGCCUAGAUUUGAUUUUGAAUGUGUUGGGGAUAUGCAAGCGUGGAAUUCCCACAUCAAAAAAAGCUAGGAAUGAAUGAGAGACAUAUAAGUGAAAAGUUUUCACCCAUAGACUCAUUGCUUUAAGGUUUUGGGUUGGAUGUGGUGUCAAACCUACGAGUGUGUUUUUUCAUAAAGACACCAUCAGGAAGGAAGUUGUGAGAUAUUUGAAAAACACACCGGGAUUAGGUUUUGAGAGUUCUGAUUGAUGGUUUUGAGAGUUCUGACUGAUUGUAUCUUGCUCUUUUUCAUCACGGUGAAACUUUUUUUUUCUCUUAUCGUGUCAAACCUUACUGUUGAACCACGUUAAAUCAUUAUUCUUCUUCUAUUUUCAAUACUGUGUGAUUGUGCG